AACGCACCUUGCGCUCCUUGGUAUUCCGAGGAGCAUGCCUGUUUGAGUGUCAUGGAAUCAUCAACUCUCAUCUGUUAUGGAUGAGGGCUUGGACUUGGGGGUUUUGCUGGUGUCUGCCAGCUCCUCUUGAAUGCAUUAGCUUGAACCUCUGCUGUAUCGGCUUCAACGUGAUAAUUGUCUACGUUGUGGCUGAGAGGCGCUCCGUCGUAGGUUUGGCUUCUAACGGUCUCUUUGAUGAGACAUACACCUUUGACCUCUGGCCUCAAAUCAGGUAGGACUACCCGCUGAACUUAA
RNAcentral lists this unclassified non-coding RNA (294 nucleotides) under uncultured fungus. Its description in RNAcentral is "partial contains 5.8S ribosomal RNA, internal transcribed spacer 2, and large subunit ribosomal RNA". The stretch from base 1 to 52 matches the Rfam family "5.8S ribosomal RNA", at positions 103 to 154 of the family's 154-position model. Lineage: Eukaryota; Fungi. RNAcentral also lists the same sequence under 1 other name. The record is from RNAcentral.